Notechis scutatus (mainland tiger snake) is the source of this 640-nucleotide long non-coding RNA. RefSeq lists it as uncharacterized. The record is from RefSeq and is a predicted model, not a curated record. NCBI's taxonomy places the organism in Eukaryota, Metazoa, Chordata, Lepidosauria, Squamata, Elapidae.
CGCGGAGUAGUUUACACUUCGACUCCGGUGGCUUCGGACACAUCGAGAUGUUUCGAGAACAUCUAGGGGGGGACAAGUGGCGGCACAUAACACACUUCAGGACUGGCUCGACGGGAAUAAACGAAAGGAACGGGCGAGCGAGACCCCGAGUAAGGAUGCAGUCUCCUCUCUUCAUUGUUUGAUCACACCAAGAUAGAUGCUAUGGGAACCGGAAGUAUCAGCAGCAGACUGUAUCAUCUCCCAUGAUACCAUCAUGACCAAGAGGGAUGAAGUAAUUUAAACAUCAUAAAUCAAGCAAUUAAAGUUUCAAACUAAAAAAAACCCUGACACAUAAAUGCUUCUGUUACUAGUAGGUAAUUUUCAUGCUUGAAAUGAAAUUCCUAAUAUUACUUUAAUACUGAAAUUUGAACAUCGGUAUAAUUUAAGUGUGCAUCUUGAUCAGAGUGGUUUAUCUGCCUUAUGUACAGGAAAUGUCUAACUUCCAGUUUUAAAACAUUUUUUCUUUCUGACAAUUUGCAUUAUGAUAAUUUUAUAUGCUUAAGUGAGGGAUGGAGAAGUUGAUGAAAUUGUACAUUUUUAUGUCUGCAAUGGAUUUUACAACUUCUGUGAUGUAAUGUACCUUUCUUAUACAUUUUUUCUU